This 274-nucleotide ribosomal RNA is filed under the name uncultured bacterium. Its description in RNAcentral is "partial 16S ribosomal RNA". It matches the Rfam family "Bacterial small subunit ribosomal RNA", at positions 523 to 796 of the family's 1533-position model. The record is from RNAcentral.
AUACGAAGGGGGCUAGCGUUGUUCGGAAUCACUGGGCGUAAAGCGCGCGUAGGUGGACUAAUUAGUUGAGGGUGAAAUCCCGGGGCUCAACCUCGGAACUGCCUUCAAUACUGUUAGUCUUGAGACCGAGAGAGGUGAGUGGAAUUCCUAGUGUAGAGGUGAAAUUCGUAGAUAUUAGGAGGAACACCAGUGGCGAAGGCGGCUCACUGGCUCGGUACUGACGCUGAGGUGCGAAAGCGUGGGGAGCAAACAGGAUUAGAAACCCUAGUAGUCC